RNAcentral lists this ribosomal RNA (333 nucleotides) under Pseudoleyanella lunata. RNAcentral describes it as "SSU rRNA". It matches the Rfam family "Eukaryotic small subunit ribosomal RNA", at positions 627 to 961 of the family's 1831-position model. The record is from RNAcentral. Lineage: Eukaryota; Bacillariophyta; Thalassiosirophyceae; Cymatosirales; Cymatosiraceae.
CUCGUAGUUGGAUUUCUGGUGGGAGCGAUCGGUCCGACGCUUAGCGUGGGUACUUGCAUUGUCUCCGGCCAUCCUUGGGGAGAGUUUGUCUGGCAUUAAGUUGUCGGGCAGAGGAUCCUCAUCGUUUACUGUGAAAAAAUUAGAGUGUUCAAAGCAGGCUUAUGCCGUUGAAUAUAUUAGCAUGGAAUAAUAAGAUAGGACUUUGGUACUAUUUUGUUGGUUUGCGCACCAAAGUAAUGAUUAAUAGGGACAGUUGGGGGUAUUCGUAUUCCGUUGUCAGAGGUGAAAUUCUUGGAUUUACGGAAGACGAACUACUGCGAAAGCAUUUACCAA